This 247-nucleotide ribosomal RNA is filed under the name uncultured bacterium. Its description in RNAcentral is "partial 16S ribosomal RNA". It matches the Rfam family "Bacterial small subunit ribosomal RNA", at positions 523 to 769 of the family's 1533-position model. The record is from RNAcentral.
AUACGGAGGGUGCAAGCGUUAAUCGGAAUAACUGGGCGUAAAGCGCGUGUAGGCGGUUUGUUAAGUCAGAUGUGAAAUCCCCGGGCUCAACCUGGGAACUGCAUUUGAAACUGUCUGACUAGAGUCUUGUAGAGGGGGGUAGAAUUCCAGGUGUAGCGGUGGAAUGCGUAGAGAUCUGGAGGAAUACCGGUGGCGAAGGCGGCCCCCUGGACAAAGACUGACGCUCAGGUGCGAAAGCGUGGGGAGC